Dama dama (fallow deer) is the source of this 334-nucleotide long non-coding RNA. RefSeq lists it as uncharacterized. The transcript has 3 exons. Lineage: Eukaryota; Metazoa; Chordata; Mammalia; Artiodactyla; Cervidae. The record is from RefSeq and is a predicted model, not a curated record.
GAAGCCCCCUAGGGCCCAUGUUUUGCCUUUCUGCUCCUCACUGAUAAUGACCAGGAGAGAGGUUUUUACUACACAAGCUGGCAAUGCAGAGGGAUUGGGGCUCCGGAUUAUAAGGGUGCCUCACCGGGGACUGGCAGCGUCACGGGUGACGAGCUACUGAGGACCACCAGGCCGUCGAGACUGAGGCGGGCGUGGCAGGUGACGAAGCAGUGCACAUCGGAACUCCAGGCCCUCACAUCCAGCAGCUGGUAGGCUACCCAGCGGGGCCCGCUGAGCGUCUCACCCCGCCGCAGCUCGGUGCGGAGGCUGGAACCCUCCGGGAGGGGGCAGCUGC